This 327-nucleotide RNase P RNA is filed under the name Bryobacteraceae bacterium. Its description in RNAcentral is "partial RNase P RNA component class A". It matches the Rfam family "Bacterial RNase P class A", at positions 1 to 292 of the family's 367-position model. Rfam says of the family: Ribonuclease P (RNase P) is a ubiquitous endoribonuclease, found in archaea, bacteria and eukarya as well as chloroplasts and mitochondria. Its best characterised activity is the generation of mature 5'-ends of tRNAs by cleaving the 5'-leader elements of precursor-tRNAs. Lineage: Bacteria; Pseudomonadati; Acidobacteriota; Terriglobia; Bryobacterales; Bryobacteraceae. The record is from RNAcentral.
GGGCGCCGGCAGGCAGUCGCGGGGCGCGGAGCGUUUCUUCGGAGAUGUGACGUGCAACGAGGCAAAGUCCGGUCUCCAUAGGGCAGCGUGCCGGCUAACGGCCGGGGGGGCGGGCUCAAAGCCCGUUCCACGGAUCAGUGCCACAGAAAAUAUACCGCCGGUGGGCCGCCAGGCUCGCAGGUAAGGGUGAAAUGGUGCGGUAAGAGCGCACCGCGUUGCGGGUAACCGUAAUGGCAGGGAAAACCCCACGUGGAGCAAGACCAAAUAGGGGAGGAUGGCGUGGCCCACGCCGUUUGCACUCCCGGGUAGGUUGCUUGAGCCUGUCAG